AAACGCUUGAAGUCAGUCGCGUUGGCCGGGAAUCAGCCUUGCUUUUGCUUGGUGUACUUUCUGGUUGACGGGCCAGCAUCAGUUUUGACCGGUGGAAAAAGUUCAGGGGAAUGUGGCAUCUUCGGGUGUGUUAUAGCCUUUGUUCGUAUACAUCGGUUGGGACUGAGGAACUCAGCACGCCGCAAGGCCGGGUCUUUGACCACGUUCGUGCUUAGGAUGCUGGCAUAAUGGCUUUAAUCGA
This 241-nucleotide ribosomal RNA is filed under the name Psathyrella sp. Its description in RNAcentral is "partial large subunit ribosomal RNA". The record is from RNAcentral. Lineage: Eukaryota; Fungi; Basidiomycota; Agaricomycetes; Agaricales; Psathyrellaceae.